This 440-nucleotide ribosomal RNA is filed under the name uncultured bacterium. Its description in RNAcentral is "bacterial SSU rRNA". It matches the Rfam family "Bacterial small subunit ribosomal RNA", at positions 338 to 795 of the family's 1533-position model. The record is from RNAcentral.
CCUACGGGUGGCUGCAGUAACGAAUCUUCCGCAAUGGGCGAAAGCCUGACGGAGCAAUGCCGCGUGUGGGAUGAAGCGUCUAUGACGUGUAAACCACUGUCAGGAAGCAGAAACAAUGAUCGCUUCCAGAGGAAGUGGCGACUAACUCUGUGCCAGCAGUCGCGGUAAUACAGAGGCCACGAGCGUUAGUCGGAAUCACUGGGCUUAAAGGGUGCGUAGGCGGCUCGCCAAGUGUCUUGUGAAAUACCUCAGCUCAACUGAGGAACAGCAGGGCAUACUGGCGGGCUCGAGGCAGGUAAGGGUCGCUGGAACAGUAGGUGGAGCGGUGAAAUGCGUAGAUAUCUACUGGAACGCCGAUGGUGAAGACGAGCGACUGGGCCUGUCCUGACGCUGAGGCACGAAAGCGUGGGGAGCAAACAGGAUUAGAUACCCCAGUAGUC